Molecule: ribosomal RNA, 410 nt
Filed under: uncultured Streptococcus sp.
Lineage: Bacteria; Bacillati; Bacillota; Bacilli; Lactobacillales; Streptococcaceae
Description: bacterial SSU rRNA
Rfam family: Bacterial small subunit ribosomal RNA
Source: RNAcentral
UUACCAGGUCUUGACAUCCCGAUGCUAUUUCUAGAGAUAGAAAGUACUUCGGUACAUCGGUGACAGGUGGUGCAUGGUUGUCGUCAGCUCGUGUCGUGAGAUGUUGGGUUAAGUCCCGCAACGAGCGCAACCCCUAUUGUUAGUUGCCAUCAUUCAGUUGGGCACUCUAGCGAGACUGCCGGUAAUAAACCGGAGGAAGUGGGGAUGACGUCAAAUCAUCAUGCCCCUUAUGACCUGGGCUACACACGUGCUACAAUGGUUGGUACAACGAGUUGCGAGUCGGUGACGGCGAGCUAAUCUCUUAAAGCCAAUCUCAGUUCGGAUUGUAGGCUGCAACUCGCCUACAUGAAGUCGGAAUCGCUAGUAAUCGCGGAUCAGCACGCCCGCGGUCGAAUACGUUCCCGGGCCUU